This is a non-coding RNA of Prunus avium (sweet cherry), 1161 nucleotides long. Lineage: Eukaryota; Viridiplantae; Streptophyta; Magnoliopsida; Rosales; Rosaceae. The record is from RefSeq and is a predicted model, not a curated record.
CAGUACUUCCAUUAAUUUUAUUUAAUCUACUAUAUCAAUGUAAAUUAUAAUUUUCUAAUAUAUAUUUUCUGUGAAAUUUUGCAGGAAAAGUAGCAUCAUUCAACCAAAUUUCUCCAACACAUCCUCCAUUGGCUAGAAGUCUUGUACAACUCAAAAAUCUUACGAUAUCCAGGUGUCAAAUCAUGGAAGAGAUAGUACCAACAAACGAAUCCAAUGAGGAAGAUACAGAUCAUAACAUGUUUAGUCAGCUAUAAGAUCUAAAGCUACAAUUUCUUCCGAACCUCAGCAGAUUCUGCUCAGCACGUCGUUCUAUUAAUUUUCAUUCCUUGGAGAUAUUGCAUCUAAAGGAUUGUUCUAAAUUGGAGACAUUCAUCUUUGAUCCCAUGAGUACAAAUAGCACAAUCAACAAAGCAACUGAAGAGAUCAGGGACUCCAUGGAGAAUAUUGGGACUGAUGCACAAUACUUUCUUUUUGACGAAAAGGAUUUCCUAGCUUGGAGAGGUUGAUCAUCCGUGACCUACCUGUAUUGAGGACUAUAUGGCACAACAGACUUGCCCCAAACUCCUUUUGCAAGCUCAAGAAAGUUGAAAUUUGGAGAUGCGACACUUUAAUUAAUAUCUUUGCGCCAAGUAUGAUGGGAAGAUUGAAUGCUUUAGAAACCUUAAGAAUACAAGAAUGCAAGUCACUACAAGUGGUAUUUGAACAAACAUAUGACACAUCAACUACUCAGUUGAAAACUUUUGAGUGUCCAAAUCUUGAUUCUAUAAAAAUUUAUUGGUGUGAGAGUUUGAAAAAUAUCUUUUCAGCCUCAGUGGCCAAGGGUCUUCAGCAGCUGAACGAGAUGUAUGUGGAGAUUUGUGGAAUAUUGGAAGAAAUUGUUGCCAAGGAAGAAGUAGAAACUACACCUGAGUUUGUGUUCGCUAAAGUAACACUUGUGCAAUUUAAAAAUCUGCCCCAACUGAGAAGUUUCUAUCCGGGGUUGCAUGUUUCCAAGUGGCUAUUACUCAAAACAUUGAGAUUCUUUCCAGGAAAGAUUUGAUUCGGGCCUUAUCUGUACACCAAUCAAACAACCUUUUUUGUUAGUUGACAAGGGUAAUCCAUUCCCCAACUUGGAAAGGUUAUAUUUGGACGAGAACACGAAGAUUCGGUAUGAAGCGCAUG